Molecule: ribosomal RNA, 460 nt
Filed under: uncultured bacterium
Lineage: Bacteria
Description: partial 16S ribosomal RNA
Rfam family: Bacterial small subunit ribosomal RNA
Source: RNAcentral
CCUACGGGGGGCAGCAGUGAGGAAUAUUGGUCAAUGGGCGUAAGCCUGAACCAGCCAAGUCGCGUGAGGGAUGAAGGUUCUAUGGAUCGUAAACCUCUUUUAUAAGGGAAUAAAGUGCGGGACGUGUCCCGUUUUGUAUGUACCUUAUGAAUAAGGAUCGGCUAACUCCGUGCCAGCAGCCGCGGUAAUACGGAGGAUCCGAGCGUUAUCCGGAUUUAUUGGGUUUAAAGGGUGCGUAGGCGGCCUUUUAAGUCAGCGGUGAAAGUCUGUGGCUCAACCAUAGAAUUGCCGUUGAAACUGGGAGGCUUGAGUAUGUUUAAGGCAGGCGGAAUGCGUGGUGUAGCGGUGAAAUGCUUAGAUAUCACGAAGAACCCCGAUUGCGAAGGCAGCCUGCUAAGCCAUGACUGACGCUGAUGCACGAAAGCGUGGGGAUCAAACAGGAUUAGAUACCCCAGUAGUC